This 377-nucleotide long non-coding RNA is filed under the name Androctonus crassicauda. The record is from RNAcentral. Lineage: Eukaryota; Metazoa; Arthropoda; Arachnida; Scorpiones; Buthidae.
CAAUUUGUCAGAGAACAAAUCUUGCAUUAUUUUAAUAGAAGAUGCAUCAUCACUAUCAGGCUUGUGAUAAUAUCCUUGAUUAUGGUGUAGUUGUCACAGUAAUAAAUGGCAGCUUGAAGUCAUGUUCCCCACCUGGUGGUGAUUGGUUGUGGAGGAAAUGUUAUAGAUGGAGCUUUGGUUUUGAAUACUUCAACCCUCAGUGGCACUUUUAUGAAAAUCUUUUUCAUGUUGGAUAUCAGCUUGUCCACAUCAAAAUAAUUCUGCCACAUUUCCUCUGCUACCCUGUGCAUUGUGUGAACAAUACAUGUAAUAUGUUUCAUGUUUUGAGUAGAACAUUUUAAGUCCCUUAGCAGUUUUCACCGUGUAAGGUGUGGCAU